This 63-nucleotide transfer RNA is filed under the name Cavia porcellus (domestic guinea pig). It matches the Rfam family "tRNA". From Rfam's summary of the family: Transfer RNA (tRNA) molecules are approximately 80 nucleotides in length. Lineage: Eukaryota; Metazoa; Chordata; Mammalia; Rodentia; Caviidae. The record is from Rfam by way of RNAcentral.
GGGGAUUUAGCUUAGCGGCAUAAGUGCCUGCCUUGCAAGCAGCGGUUGUGAGUUCAAUCCCCA